RNAcentral lists this ribosomal RNA (256 nucleotides) under uncultured bacterium. RNAcentral's name for it is "partial small subunit ribosomal RNA". It matches the Rfam family "Bacterial small subunit ribosomal RNA", at positions 26 to 286 of the family's 1533-position model. The record is from RNAcentral.
AGGACGAACGCUGGCGGCGUGCUUAACACAUGCAAGUCGAGCGGAAAGGCCCUUCGGGGUACUCGAGCGGCGAACGGGUGAGUAACACGUGAGUAACCUGCCCUAGGCUUUGGGAUAACCCCUCGGAAACGGGGGCUAAUACCGAAUAUUCAUCUGGAUGGCAUCAUCUGGUGUGGAAAGUUUUCGGUCCUGGGAUGGGCUCGCGGCCUAUCAGCUUGUUGGUGGGGUGAUGGCCUACCAAGGCGACGACGGGUUA